Microdochium nivale is the source of this 86-nucleotide non-coding RNA. Lineage: Eukaryota; Fungi; Ascomycota; Sordariomycetes; Xylariales; Microdochiaceae. The record is from the annotation of a GenBank genome assembly.
GGGCUUGUGGUUUAGUGGUAUAAUACUCCCUUAGCAUUGUUCAGACAAUUUGGGAGUGGUCCAGGGUUCGAUUCCCUGCAAGUCCA